CUGUAAUUUCAGAUUCCUCCACUUUUGGUCCCUCAUUUCACGUGCCAUGUAUGCAGAUUCUGCUGAUGUGGUGAAAUGAGGGACUAAAAGUGGAAGAAUAUGAAAUUACAG
RNAcentral lists this microRNA precursor (111 nucleotides) under Medicago truncatula (barrel medic). RNAcentral describes it as "MIR5284 microRNA precursor family". It matches the Rfam family "MIR5284 microRNA precursor family". The record is from Rfam by way of RNAcentral. Lineage: Eukaryota; Viridiplantae; Streptophyta; Magnoliopsida; Fabales; Fabaceae.